GAUGAAGAACGCAGUGAAAUGCGAUACGUAGUGUGAAUUGCAGAAUUCAGUGAAUCAUCGAAUCUUUGAACGCACAUUGCGCCCCUUGGUAUUCCAUGGGGCAUGCCUGUUCGAGCGUCAUUUGUACCUUCAAGCUCUGCUUGGUGUUGGGUGUUUGUCUCGCCUCUGCGUGUAGACUCGCCUCAAAACAAUUGGCAGCCGGCGUAUUGAUUUCGGAGCGCAGUACAUCUCGCGCUUUGCACUCAUAACGACGACGUCCAAAAGUACAUUUUUACACUCUUGACCUCGGAUCAGGUAGGGAUACCCGCUGAACUUAAGCAUAUCAAUAAGCGGAGGA
This 337-nucleotide unclassified non-coding RNA is filed under the name soil metagenome. RNAcentral describes it as "partial contains 5.8S ribosomal RNA, internal transcribed spacer 2, and large subunit ribosomal RNA". The stretch from base 1 to 120 matches the Rfam family "5.8S ribosomal RNA", at positions 35 to 154 of the family's 154-position model. The record is from RNAcentral.